RNAcentral lists this long non-coding RNA (571 nucleotides) under Eutrema salsugineum. Its description in RNAcentral is "long non-coding RNA (ESAL_LNC001167)". Lineage: Eukaryota; Viridiplantae; Streptophyta; Magnoliopsida; Brassicales; Brassicaceae. The record is from RNAcentral.
ACCAACUUUAGUGAAAUUGAAUUUGUUUCCAUCAAAUGGUUGAAGAACUUUAUCAACACGGAACUCGGUUGGUCUCUUCUUGAGAUGACGACCUUCGUUUAGCUGCGCGAUAAAACCGUACUUCCCCGGUAUAACCUAUUAGUACCAAAUUUACCAGUAAAACCAUCAAACAUCAACAAUGUGAACACAGAAACUUGAUUCCUCAGAGCUCAAGUAAACGUCAACAAUGUGAAAACAGAAACUUGAUUCUUCAGAGCUCAAGUAAACGUCAACAAUGUGAAAACAAAAACUUGAUUCUUCAGAGCUCAAGUAAACAACAACAAUGUGAAACAGAAACUUGAUUCUUCAGAGCUCAAGUAAACGUCAACAAUGUGAAAACAGAAACUUGAUUCUUCAGAGCUCAAGUAAACAAGUGAAACUGAAACUUGAUUCUCCAGCUUAAGCAAACAUAUCAAAAGACUUGAGCUUCAAAGUAAAUCAAUGAACCAUAAAGUAAAGAGAUGAUUUACCUUGGUUUCACAGGCGGUAACAUCAUAACGAAAGAGUCCUCUUUGAAACCGAUCUUCCCACU